RNAcentral lists this ribosomal RNA (206 nucleotides) under uncultured bacterium. RNAcentral describes it as "partial 16S ribosomal RNA". It matches the Rfam family "Bacterial small subunit ribosomal RNA", at positions 568 to 774 of the family's 1533-position model. The record is from RNAcentral.
UGCGUAGGCGGGUUUCUAAGUCAGAGGUGAAAGCCUGGAGCUCAACUCCAGAACUGCCUUUGAUACUGGCGGUCUUGAGUUCGGGAGAGGUGAGUGGAACUGCUAGUGUAGAGGUGAAAUUCGUAGAUAUUAGCAAGAACACCAGUGGCGAAGGCGGCUCACUGGCCCGAUACUGACGCUGAGGUACGAAAGCGUGGGAGCAAACA